UACGUAGGCUGCGAGCGUUAUCCGGAAUUACUGGGCGUAAAGAGAUGCGUAGGCGUCCAAAUUAGUCUUUGAUUAAAGGCAAAAGCUCAACUUUUGUAAGGUUAAAGAUACGGUUUGGAUUGAGAUAGGCAGGGGAAGAUGGAACUUCUGGUGGAGUAGUGAAAUGCGUUGAUAUCAGAAGGAACACCAAAGGCGAAGGCAAUCUUCUGGGCCUUUUCUGACGCUAAGGCUCGAAAGCGUGGGGAGCAAAACGG
RNAcentral lists this ribosomal RNA (254 nucleotides) under uncultured organism. Its description in RNAcentral is "partial 16S ribosomal RNA". It matches the Rfam family "Bacterial small subunit ribosomal RNA", at positions 524 to 776 of the family's 1533-position model. The record is from RNAcentral.